Heterocephalus glaber (naked mole-rat) is the source of this 468-nucleotide long non-coding RNA. Lineage: Eukaryota; Metazoa; Chordata; Mammalia; Rodentia; Bathyergidae. The record is from Ensembl.
UGGAAGCGUCCCCUGCAGGACCUCCAAGAGCCAGGGAGUGAUGACCAUCCCACCGCCCAUCAGCUUGGCAUCGAGAACAGCUACCUGGGUGGUGACAGUGCCUGGAUACUCUGCCAUGCCACGCUGAAAGGGUGAGCCCCACGGAUGUCAUCAAAACAGCGGAUUAGAAAUGCAAACCUAUGCUUUCAACUCUUCUUUCUAAAAGGCCCAGGGCUCCACCAGAAAGCACUACUGGCAUCAAGGAGAGCAUCAUCUCCAGACUGCAGCAGAGAUAAAACAAUCUCACAGGAGGAUUUCAAAGGGGUGACAACCAUCUGCUGCCUCCCCAGGUGAAUGAGCCAGCAGCCUGGGCAGCAUACACAAUGAGAGCUUUUCUUUAAUAAAUAGGAGGUUUCAACAUAGUAUGUCACUGUCUUACCUGUUCUAUAGAUGGAAAAAGUAAAUUUCACAACUUACCUGCAAUGAAAA